Long non-coding RNA from Manis pentadactyla (Chinese pangolin), 7917 nucleotides. RefSeq lists it as uncharacterized. NCBI's taxonomy places the organism in Eukaryota, Metazoa, Chordata, Mammalia, Pholidota, Manidae. The record is from RefSeq and is a predicted model, not a curated record. The transcript is spliced from 3 exons.
GGGUCUGGGGGAGGGGCCAGGCCCUGCUCAGGGUGGGCAAACCUGAGAGAGCCGACCUGGGGGGAGCAUGGGACGCAGGGCAGGGAGUAACUGGUGGGCGCAGGACAGGGACGUGCUGGGCGGUGGGGGCGCCCCGACGGAGGGUGCACGGGUUAUAUAAAUGUUCCCUGGCACCGCUGCGAGGCGGCCGAGAGCGAUUGCCUCAUCUUAUCAGGGUACUCUGCGUCCCACACACUCCUCUUGCCCAAGCCCCAGGCAGGGGUGGGGACAGUGUGUUCCCUUCCCCAAAGCCGCAAGGGGCCCAGUGGCGGGGAGCAGGGGCUCUCCUCUCUCUCCGCGACCCCGCCCCUGUCCCUGCCACCAGCCGCACCUGCACUGGCUCAGAACUGUGCCUGUUCCAGCUCAGACCCAGCUCAGCCUUGGGCUGCAGUGAAAUGCCCUCCCGUUUUGCCCUCCUGUCCAAAGGGCGUGCUCCCAAUUAUCGCAAUCGCGCUAUCAUCACUGGCCACACUGCCAGCCCCCAAAAGGAAGCUCUGAUCUGUGGCCACUGGCAUGAAGUCAUGUCCAGCUCCAGCCUCAAGACUGCCAUGUUCUCCACUCCAGGGAAUCCCGCUCACCCUCCUGCUCUGGGGCAGCUUGGCAGAUGUCAGCCACUGGGGCUGAUCAAUGGCCAGCCUCCAAGGAAACCCAGGCGCACAGCAGCCUUGGGGUCAGCAAAACGUCCUGUCUGUGGUGGGGAACAGGCUUCAUUACUUUAUUUAGAAGGCCAUUUCGCUGCUCUACUGGUCACUGAAAAUACUGGUUUAAAGACUCAUGUGGAGGUGACACGCAGAUGUCCCAUCUCCCAGGAAGUCCAGGAUGGAAGUUCUUACCCACCAUGGUACAGGUGAGGGGGGUGAAGCCCAGGAGGAGAGAGAGCUGCCACUCAGCAGGAACCCCUCUUGCCCUAAGACUCAGCUGUAGCAGCAGGAGCUUUCUGCGUGGAAGCAGCCCUGCACUGAGCAGCGCUGCCCUGGCCCCACUCCUGCGCUCCUAUUCGUUUACUGACAGCCCCGGGAGUGUCCUCCAGCCUGUUGCUCAGUCACUGUGAGGCUAAGUGGGAGAAGACACCUGCUAAUAGGAGAUACACAGUUAUCGCCAGUAGGGCUCCUGAGCAGUGCUUGUGUGAGCAAGCUAGCAGCAAACAACCGUGGCAAGAACCACUGGUUGCACGUGGAAGCCCCAUACCAGGCAGGGCUCGCCCAGGCCCUGGUCCUGGCCCCAGCCCAGGGUGCUCUGGACUGGUGCUGUUGUGGGUGCACGUGUGUUACUGAUCACAUGCUCCCUUUCACUCUUGCACAUGCCAGAGCUGGCGGGACAUGAAGGGAGGUGGCGCCGGGCUGGAGACUGUUACAUACAGCCUCAGGGGUGCUGCUGAAACAAGAAAAUAUGCCUUUUGUAGACAUGUGUGUCUCCUCACUUCUACAAUGGAUCCAAGUGUAUUUUUAAAAUAGGCGUUUUUAUUAUUGUUGCUUUGCUUUGCUUUGGAAUAGGAUAACUUGAUUUUAAAAGUCAUGAAGAUAAACAAAUAGAAAGAACUCUGAAAAAAAAAAACAAUGGUGGGAGGGGAACCAGACCACCAGAUAUCCAACAUACCAUCCCAUAAGCUGGUAACUGACCAGUGGGGCAGAGCAGAGAUGCAGGAACUAGACUCAAAGUCAGUGGGACCCCAUGUUUAGCAUAAAGUAACAUCUCAGAUGGAGUUGUGGGGGCGAGUCCAAAAUAGGUGUUUGGACAACUAAGUAGCAUCUGGGAAGAAAGUAAGGUCCAUGCUUCACACCACGAUAAAUUCCAAAUGGGUUAAAGAUUUAAAUGUGAAAAAUGAAACCACAGAUGUUCAAGGAGAAAACAUGAGAACUCCCCUUUAUGAUGUAAGGACAGAAGGUCUUCCUAUGAAUCAAAGCCCAGAAGCCAUAAAUGAAAAGAUCGAUAAACCUGAUUACAAAAGCACAAGGUACUUCUCCAUGGACAAAGUCACCAUAAGCAAAGGCAAAAGAUAAAUGACAAACUGAGAAAAAAAUAUGUGCAGCUCAUCUAUCACAAAGGACUAGCCUCCAACAUAGGAAGAGCUCACAGAAUUAAAGGGAAAAACCAACGCCCAACAGAAGAUGGCAAAGGCUACACUAGACAGGUGAUCAAAAGGAAAUGCAAUGACUCAAACAUCUGAAAGAUGCUUAGCCUUGCCCACUGAGAGACAAACACUAACCAGACCCCACUGAAAUCUAGCUGCUUACCUACCAGGGAAGUGAGGCUGGGGGAACACUUCACUGACAGAAAGACAGCUUGUCAAAACCUCUGUGGUGGGUGACUGGGCAAUACCUACAAAAAUUCUGACCCCACAAACCAACUUUUGGGAACCUAUUCCACAAACGCACGUGCACGCCUACAAAAUGGGAUAUAUGCCUGAUUAUUCAAUGCAGCAAAAGCCUCAGAACGCACGUCCUUACACGGAGCACUUUCUCUGAGCUGAAUGGAGUGACUCACAUCAAGCUCCCUUACCCCCCUUUUCUUUGCAAUCUUGAAGGAAACACUCCCCUGCUUCAGAAGCCAGAGCUCCAUCAACAACCCUGCUCUGGGAAUCUUAGACAUACUGUCCACCCAGCGCUGACAGCUCAGAAGUGACAGAUGCUUCAAUAGGUUUUCACAGCAAUUUUCUCCAAAAAUAAGGAAAAGCAAGGACAUGAGUUUGGAAUCCACAAUUAAUGAUCCAGAAUAAAGAACUCUCAAAUCUCAGCAAUAAGCAAACACCUGAUUUUAAAAAUGAACAAAAAGUGUGAACUCAGCCAAAGAAGAUAUAGAUGGCAAACAUCUAUGGUGAAAAGAUGCUCCAUAUCAUUUGUCAUUAGAGACAGGCAGAGUAAACGAGGAGAGGACACCACACUAAAUGAGUUUGGCAGUUUCUUGUGAGGUUAGAAAUGUCACUGUACAACCAGGCAAUCCCACUCCUAGGCAUUUACCAAGUGAACUGAAAACCCAUCCGCAAAUGUUUAAUAUAGCACCUUUAUUCACAUUCAGCAAAAACUGGAGGCAAGCACUUUUUAUAGGUGAAAUGGUGGUGUAUCCACACAAUGGAGUACUAUUCAGUGAUAAAAAGGAAGGAGCUAUUGAUUCACACACAAAAUGGAUGACCCUUAAAUGCAUUUUGCUAAGUCAAAGAAGCUAGACCCAAAAGUCUAUAUAUUGUAUGACUCUUGUCAUAUGACAUUCUGUCAAGAGCAAAACUGUAAGGACAGAAAACACGGCAGGGGUUGGGGAUCAGGGAACAGUUGACCACAAGGGGGAUUUUUAGGGUAAUGGAACUGUUCUGCAUGUCCCUGGGGUGGUGGAUACCAGACUCUACUUGGGUCAAAACCUACAGGACUGUGCACCACAGAAUGCACUUAAACAUAUGCAAAUACUUAACAUGUAAAGGAAGCUAGGGUCUCUGACUGGAUGACAAAUGUAAGACCUGGCCUCUUAGGAGGGGGUGGGUAAAAGAAGCUGACCUAAGGAAUUUGGGAAAAUGGUGGUUUGGCUAGAAACUGAAAGAUUACAGACAAAAGGAACUAUACUUAAAUAUGCUCUCAUUUCUCAUGAGAAUGUGGGUUAACAAUUCUGAAACUGCUUCACAUGGAUGCUGUGGCUAAACCAACAGGUGACUACUGCACAGCAGCUGGGGGGAGCCGUAUCUCACUCUGGGAGAGGUAAGUUACAGACCAGCAGGGGGUGAGUGAGAAUGUGCCCUUCCUGAGGGGCCGCCCCAGAGUCAACAUUGGUGUGAUCUCAUGUUCAGUCCCAUGUGCAUACCGAGGGGCAAGGAGAUGAUUAAAGGCAUGUGUGUGUAAAUGGGCUGGUACACACAUGUAUGAACUCUGUCCACUGGGUCUGAAGCAGCAACACUCCAGGAGCAAGGAACACACCCAGCGCCGAGACCUUGGUUUCUAGAUGCCAUUUUCCAAUAAAGGAAACAGGGACCUUAGGAGAAAUGACUGAUCCUGGGACUACAGCAGGAAAAGUACAAGAUAAGCCUGAAGCAUCUUGUGAUGCCAGGAAGUAAGGAAGUACACAAAAAACCAAUGAUGGGGGCAAAAGGCUGCAGAAGUCAACCUGACCAGAGUUCCUGGCCAAGCCUGGAUCGUUCAGGCAACAAAAUAAACAUCAGGGGUAAGUCACGUGGAUAGCAUCCUCCCACUUACCAAAGGGAGAUGUGAGGGACAGGAAGGGCACUUCGCCAGUGCAGUACUAGUCCCCAAAAGCCAAAAACCAGUCUAUGCACGAAAAAGACAUCAGGCAAGUGCAAACUGAGGGACAUUCUACAACUACCUGGCUACCACCCUUCAAAACUGUCAAGGUCCUGGAAAACAAGGAGAGUCUGUGAAACUACAACAGCCCUCAGAAGCCUAAGGCAUGAUGACUGUAGUUCAGAUAAUGAAUUAUAGAAAACCCAUUUGACUCACAUUUUGGAUCACUACAGAGGUGACUAUGUAGCCCAUUUCUGAAUAAGUCAGUACUUCCAAGAGAAUGCAAAUAGUUAAUACAGCUCAGUUGCUGGAGAAAGUCAAUGAUUUCUGAGGCUCCUCAAAUGCUUUGGGACACUGGCCCACGCAGUGGUCACCUUUGCCAACUGGACAUUUCCCUGAUGAAUGACUGCCCACCUCGAGCACAAACACAUGGGAGCCACCCAGCAAUUGUGGCAGUGACAACUAGGGCAUGUGGCCCAGCACCAUGCUCCAUGUCUUCUCUUCCUGGAGAACGUGACUUCAGUUCCCAACAGCAAAGCACAGGUAGGAAUGCUCCCUUCCCGACUCCCCUCAGCUGUCACUGGUUUUGGGAAUGGAUUCUGGCCAUUGAGUUCUACAUAAGCCACUGGGCGUGUUCCCUCUGCCCUUCGCCCUUGCCCUUCUUUCUGCCUGGAGUAUGUUCCAAUCUUGUAGGAGCAGUAGGUGUCAUACAGUCACGGGGUGGAAUGCCUGGCUAAAUCCAUAUACCAACAAUGACUGAAGAGAAAGAGACAACGAGCCUGAGUCCCAGGUGGUGCCCCGGAGCAGCACACCAGUCCUGGAUACCCACAUCAGGACCUGUAACCUGAGAAAAACAAGCCAAAGCCUGCCAAUCUCGGGGUUAGCCUUUCUCCUUCCCCUGCACAAACGUCUUCUCGUGAGCUACUGCUCCCAGAAUACUGCUCACUGAAGCUCUGGCUGUAUAAUUUCUGGAUAACAUCACUGGACAGGAACAAAAAGAGGCCACUGGCUAACUAGGGGCUGGACAGCACAGCCUACCACAGCGCUGAGAGCCUGUGCUGGGAAGGGCUUCUCUCGCUGACAAGGGGAGGGCCUCAUGUUACUCUCACCCCAACCCAGACCUUCCUACCCUAGACCAAAUGCCAAGUGGGCACUUUGGAAAAAGAUGGCAGCUCACCACCUUCCCAUCCCCAGAUCCCUUUAAAAUGAAAGAAAAGGAUUUAAAGGACAAAGUGAAAGGAGAUAAUCAUUGGGAAGCUGGAAAUUAGCAAGAUGUUAGAGAAAGCAAAGAAGCAGCUCUUACUACUCUGUAAAACAUGACCUCCACCCCUGCAAAGGACCAGGACUGCCUGGUUGGGGGGUACAGUGGGGCUAAAAGAGGGGGCACCUGAACAUUAAUUAGAGAAGCGGUGGACACAGCAUGGUGACCUCUCUGCCUCACAUAUGGCUGCUGCCUUUCCUGCACUUGCCGAAGACCAGUUCCUGUCUGAGCAGGUCAGCAGAGGCGGGGGCCCAGGACUAGGGACCCCAGACAGGGUUCAGGGCAGGGCAGCUUCUUGGACGGGGGCUUGAGGAACAGCCUGCUAGACCAUGUUGCCAUGUCCAGCAGUCUCCCUGCCUGGCUCCCUGGGCAGGGCUACACCCCCAGGCAGGGACAGAGAGUCACUGAGACCCCUGUGCACCUGGACCCCCAACCAGCUCCCAGCCUCUGGGCAGCAUCCCAGACACAAAGUGUCAUCAGACACCAAGAAAAGCCUCUGACGCCAGUGGACAAGAGAGAUCAGCAAGCAGAAGGCCCAGAGGAUGCAGGGACUGCACCACGUGGGGUGAAGCAAACUUCCAGAGCUGCCACUCAACCUCAGAGGUAAGAUAUGAGUCUGUAAAGCCACAACUGGAUGGUCCUCAAAAAAAGGAGACCCAAACCCAAGUCUGAAAGUGAAGACAAAGCAGGAGAAUAUGGCAGAGACUGAAUCUCACUUUGAGAGUUGGAAGAGAACACUGGGAAAGUCCCUCCAAAAGCAGAUGGAAGAUGGAAAGACGGAUGAGAAGAGGCAAAAGGCAUGAAAAUGGAGUGGUCAGCCCAACAAUUCCAGUCCAGAUAGAAGAACCCAGAGACCUCAGAGACACAGAGGUGGCCAUCACCCAGAGCAAGAGCAAGGGUGGGCCCCAGACUCUGAGGGCUCUCGAGGCUGCACCAAGGGGCCCACUGCAGGAAACCAAGCCUGGCCCACGUGCCUCCGCUCAGCCCGGGAGCCUGGGCUAAAGACUGCAGCCCAAAGUUCCAGGGAAGGAAAUCAGGAAUCAGAAUGGCUUCAGCCUUCUCGACAGCAACAUUGGAGACCCAAGACAGUGCGGCGAGUCCCUCUAAACUCCGGAGCAAACACGGGACCUGUGACCUGACACCCAGGCCAACGUGAACCAAGUGCUAGACCAGGAACAAGACACUCCAGACACGUGAAUAUUCAAAAAAACUGCCUCCCACACCAUCCUUUGGGCUCCGCUAAAAACUAGAGGGGUGGGUUCGAGGAAAUGCAGCCCAAGUGGUGGGGAGGGGCCUCAGGACACAGCGACCACCAGUCUGGAUCUGUCAGAGUCUGGAGAUGCUACAUGGGCAGGGGAGGUGGGGAUGAGUCAAUGACAACAGCGCUGAGAGAACCAGGCAAAAAGGGUAACUCUCCAGUCUAAGGGAAAGCAAGCACAUGUGGCAGCCGGGUCCCCUGCAACUGGCAUUUACUCAACGCUGUCUCUGAAUACUAAUGCUGACCUAACCCAAUACCCCACUGUCACAGUGCAGGAUGGGGGUGACAGGGAGCUCAUCUCUCAUCUGCCAUCACAGGAAGUCAGCAGAUGAUGCUACAGCCGAAACAUGGAGAAGAACCCCUUCUGAUGGAAAGCUAGGAAGGAAAUACCAAGAAGGCGGUUGAAGAAGCCAACAGUGGCUGCCUUUGGGAGGGGGACCAGGAAUGUUGGGGCACAUAAUAAAAUGUGCAGGACAAUUUGGUCUUUGGGCUACAUUUAUUAUAGUGUGCAUUACUCUAAUAAAAUUGUUAAAAUAGUAUAUAAAAUGGGACAGGGUAACAUUCUCAGCAGCCAAAACUUCCCUUAGAGAACCACCCUGCUGUCCUGGCCACCCCACUCCAGGAAUGGUGUGAGGCUGUAGGUGCUGCCAGGGGUGUGGACGGCACACCAGCCCUGCUCCUCCUGCCCUCCUGCGAGAGAAAAGCUCACUGGGCAGCCCGGCCUCCUCCCUGCCUACCCGGGCUAUCCUAGUACUGCCUUUGAUUGCUUACAUUGUUGCUUUUGAUUACCUGUCCAGAAUAGUUCAACACUGACAGAUGGUUACUUCCUGGGUGCCUUCUACCUGGCAACAAAGUUCUGACGUGAGACUAGGGACAGUGAGAGGGGACUCAGGUGAAGACCCAUGCCCCUUCCUGACUCUGACCAAUCGUCCAGGGUAACUUCAGACUUUGGCUUUCUUUAGGCCACAUUUUAUUCAUGUUAUUCUAGGAUUAGACAUGUUGGACUUUCAUUUAAAAGUGUGCAGCACUGAAACAUUAAUGGACAACCUGAUACGGUGUCUGGGGUUUCCUCGAAAACAACUGAGGCUAGGGCGGAGGGGGUGCUGAAGGUCUGCUGCUCCUCUUGUGCUCCUCUUGGC